AAUUCCCUGCGUGGUACGUGUAAACUGAAAUUUUAGAACCAACAGUUAAAGGAAUAGGAACUUAUUCUUCGAAUAUGGCGUGCAUGCUUAAAUUAUAUUUAAGAAGCCCAUGAAUAUUCGAGUGAGUCCCGCCCUGUGUAAGAGCAGGUCCUUAAAAUUUCACUAGAUUACGGCUAAUGUGGGGC
Molecule: non-coding RNA, 185 nt
Filed under: Lachnospiraceae bacterium
Lineage: Bacteria; Bacillati; Bacillota; Clostridia; Lachnospirales; Lachnospiraceae
Description: partial 6S RNA
Rfam family: 6S / SsrS RNA
About the family: E. coli 6S RNA was the first non coding RNA to be sequenced, but its function was unknown until recently. It consists of 184 nucleotides that fold into an extended hairpin structure with a large single-stranded internal bulge.
Source: RNAcentral